Long non-coding RNA from Etheostoma spectabile (orangethroat darter), 514 nucleotides. RefSeq lists it as uncharacterized. The record is from RefSeq and is a predicted model, not a curated record. NCBI's taxonomy places the organism in Eukaryota, Metazoa, Chordata, Actinopteri, Perciformes, Percidae. The transcript has 3 exons.
UUUUUGGACGUUUCACAGUUAGUGUUUUAUUUUGAAAGUAAUAACAGGAUUUGAUGUAUUUUCUACUGUGACCAACUUGACUGCUGUAGCUGGGUGGUCGAAGUUGGUCAUGUUGUCAGAAAGCAUAGACAGUUAAAAGGCAGCAUGAGACCCUUCUUUGCUCAGACCAUGCAAGCAUUGGAAUAUUUCAAGGCAGAGACAGUUUGACAGCUCACUCGAAGAAAAGAAACAUGUGGAGGACUCUAACACUUUCACUGAUAGUUGCACUGACAUUGGGCACAGAGGUGAAUUUUACCCAGGUGUCCCUGUCUGAGGAUGUCGGGCCUAUGGUGGCUGACGAGAAGACGGUGGAAAAUCAGCAGGAGAACUUCAGCGACAUCUCCAACGUGCUAGGAAAGUCUCGACACCAGAUCCUGGCUGCUCAAUUUGAGUGCUACCUGAAGAUAAUCCAUGAUCCACCACGUACAGAAGAAGGUGAUAAGGCUGUACCUAUUGUUUGGUUUUGACGUAAAAC